GACGAACGCUGGCGGCGUGCUUAACACAUGCAAGUCGAACGGAAAGGCCCCCAUCUUGGUGGGGGUGCUCGAGUGGCGAACGGGUGAGUAACACGUGGGUGAUCUGCCCUGUACUUCGGGAUAAGCUUGGGAAACUGGGUCUAAUACCGGAUAGGACCAUGGUUUAGUGUCUCAUGGUGGAAAGAUUAUUGUUUUGGUGCAGGAUGAGCUCGCGGCCUAUCAGCUUGUUGGUGGGGUAAUGGCCUACCAAGGCGUCGACGGGUAGCCGGCCUGAGAGGGUGGACGGCCAAGUGGGGACUGGGAUACGGCCCAGACUACUACGGGAGGCAGCAGUGGGGGAUAUUGCACAAUGGGCGCAAGCCUGAUGCGGCGACGCCGCGUGGGGGAUGACGGCCUUCGGGUUGUAAACUCCUUUCGUUAGGGACGAAGCCGCACUUUUUUUGGGUGUGGUGACGGUACCUUUGUUAAGAAGCACCGGCUAACUACGUG
Molecule: ribosomal RNA, 489 nt
Filed under: uncultured bacterium
Lineage: Bacteria
Description: partial 16S ribosomal RNA
Rfam family: Bacterial small subunit ribosomal RNA
Source: RNAcentral